GUAGGUGAACCUGCGGAAGGAUCAUUAACAAAUCAUGUUGGUGCUGCCUGCCAUCAUCAUAUGAUGAUGGUGGUGGUGGUGGCCCAUAUUAACCCGAGUCCGUGCAGCAAUGCCGGGCAAGGUGUGUGAGAGAGCUGUGAAAGGCUCUUCUUUUACACGGUGAAGAUCAAUGUCUGAAAGGGUAGCGAUCUGAUCCACAUAGACGCUUGUAUGUUUGACAGAGUUAGUUGACACUUAUAAAAAUGACAAC
Molecule: unclassified non-coding RNA, 250 nt
Filed under: plant metagenome
Description: partial contains small subunit ribosomal RNA, internal transcribed spacer 1, and 5.8S ribosomal RNA
Source: RNAcentral